UACGUAGGGUGCGAGCGUUGUCCGGAAUUACUGGGCGUAAAGAGCUCGUAGGCGGUUUGUCACGUCGUCUGUGAAAUCCUCCAGCUUAACUGGGGGCGUGCAGGCGAUACGGGCAGACUUGAGUACUACAGGGGAGACUGGAAUUCCUGGUGUAGCGGUGAAAUGCGCAGAUAUCAGGAGGAACACCGGUGGCGAAGGCGGGUCUCUGGGUAGUAACUGACGCUGAGGAGCGAAAGCAUGGGUAGCGAACAGGAUUAGAUACCCCCGUA
RNAcentral lists this ribosomal RNA (269 nucleotides) under uncultured prokaryote. Its description in RNAcentral is "partial 16S ribosomal RNA". It matches the Rfam family "Bacterial small subunit ribosomal RNA", at positions 524 to 792 of the family's 1533-position model. The record is from RNAcentral.